CGGGUGAUCCCCUUGGGGUCAUAAUUGGGAAGACGGGUGCAAAUCCCGCGCGGUCCCGCCGCUGUAAGAGUGUAGCCACAUGCAAAAUGCCACUGGGACGGCAAGUCCCGGGAAGGGGCGUGCGGCGUUUGAAGCUCGAGCCAGAAUACCAGCCCGCAAAAAU
This 163-nucleotide non-coding RNA is filed under the name Christensenella timonensis. Lineage: Bacteria; Bacillati; Bacillota; Clostridia; Christensenellales; Christensenellaceae. The record is from RNAcentral.